AGAGUUUGAUCCUGGCUCAGGAUGAACGCUGGCGGCGUGCCUAAUACAUGCAAGUCGAGCGAAUGGAUUAAGAGCUUGCUCUUAUGAAGUUAGCGGCGGACGGGUGAGUAACACGUGGGUAACCAGCCCAUAAGACUGGGAUAACUCCGGGAAACCGGGGCUAAUACCGGAUAACAUUUUGAACCGCAUGGUUCGAAAUUGAAAGGCGGCUUCGGCUGUCACUUAUGGAUGGACCCGCGUCGCAUUAGCUAGUUGGUGAGGUAACGGCUCACCAAGGCAACGAUGCGUAGCCGACCUGAGAGGGUGAUCGGCCACACUGGGACUGAGACACGGCCCAGACUCCUACGGGAGGCAGCAGUAGGGAAUCUUCCGCAAUGGACGAAAGUCUGACGGAGCAACGCCGCGUGAGUGAUGAAGGCUUUCGGGUCGUAAAACUCUGUUGUUAGGGAAGAACAAGUGCUAGUUGAAUAAGCUGGCACCUUGACGGUACCUAACCAGAAAGCCACGGCUAACUACGUGCCAGCAGCCGCGGUAAU
RNAcentral lists this ribosomal RNA (536 nucleotides) under uncultured bacterium. RNAcentral describes it as "bacterial SSU rRNA". It matches the Rfam family "Bacterial small subunit ribosomal RNA", at positions 8 to 524 of the family's 1533-position model. The record is from RNAcentral.